CUCCAGACUCCUACGGGAGGCAGCAGUGGGGAAUAUUGCACAAUGGGGGGAACCCUGAUGCAGCGACGCCGCGUGGGUGAAGGAGUAUUUCGGUAUGUAAAGCCCUAUCAGCAGGGAAGAACAAUGACGGUACCUGACUAAGAAGCACCGGCUAAAUACGUGCCAGCAGCCGCGGUAAUACGUAUGGUGCAAGCGUUAUCCGGAUUUACUGGGUGUAAAGGGAGCGCAGGCGGCGCGCCAAGUCUGAUGUGAAACCCCGGGGCUCAACCCCGGGCAUGCAUUGGAAACUGGCGGGCUGGAGUGCCGGAGAGGUAAGCGGAAUUCCUAGUGUAGCGGUGAAAUGCGUAGAUAUUAGGAGGAACACCAGUGGCGAAGGCGGCCUGCUGGACGACAACUGACGGUGAGGCGCGAAAGCGUGGGGAGCAAACAGGAUUAGAUACCCUUGUAA
RNAcentral lists this ribosomal RNA (448 nucleotides) under uncultured bacterium. RNAcentral's name for it is "partial 16S ribosomal RNA". It matches the Rfam family "Bacterial small subunit ribosomal RNA", at positions 329 to 793 of the family's 1533-position model. The record is from RNAcentral.